GGCUCCCAUUUGGUGCUCUAAGAGGGGAAUAGCCAUGUCUGUCCAGGCACCCCUAUCGACCUCACCAAGGUCUGCCAGGAGCACCCAGGAGACAUACGAUGGCUAUAAGUCCUCCUGUACCAUCUGCCGUGAAGGCAAGGAGCUACUGCUUUGUAGCAAUGCAGUACUGCAUCUGCCAGCAGCACCCAGGAGAUGUAUGGUGACGGUGAGCUGAGAGGGCUCCAUGCUUGCUGUGGUAUGGUAAGCAAGCAGCAUGCUGAGCAGUGCUGCC
This is a long non-coding RNA of Chelonia mydas (Green sea turtle), 271 nucleotides long. RefSeq lists it as uncharacterized. The transcript is spliced from 4 exons. Lineage: Eukaryota; Metazoa; Chordata; Testudines; Cheloniidae. The record is from RefSeq and is a predicted model, not a curated record.